GCCUCAGUGGCUCAGUUGGUUGAGCAUCUGACUUUGGCUCAGGUCAUGAUCUCAUGAUCUCAUGGUCCGUGAGUUCGAGCCUCAUGUCAGGCU
This 93-nucleotide transfer RNA is filed under the name Felis catus (domestic cat). It matches the Rfam family "tRNA". From Rfam's summary of the family: Transfer RNA (tRNA) molecules are approximately 80 nucleotides in length. Their secondary structure includes four short double-helical elements and three loops (D, anti-codon, and T loops). Lineage: Eukaryota; Metazoa; Chordata; Mammalia; Carnivora; Felidae. The record is from Rfam by way of RNAcentral.